UAGGGAAUCUUCCGCAAUGGGCGAAAGCCUGACGGAGCAACGCCGCGUGAGUGAUGAAGGUCUUCGGAUCGUAAAACUCUGUUAUUAGGGAAGAACAAAUGUGUAAGUAACUAUGCACGUCUUGACGGUACCUAAUCAGAAAGCCACGGCUAACUACGUGCCAGCAGCCGCGGUAAUACGUAGGUGGCAAGCGUUAUCCGGAAUUAUUGGGCGUAAAGCGCGCGUAGGCGGUUUUUUAAGUCUGAUGUGAAAGCCCACGGCUCAACCGUGGAGGGUCAUUGGAAACUGGAAAACUUGAGUGCAGAAGAGGAAAGUGGAAUUCCAUGUGUAGCGGUGAAAUGCGCAGAGAUAUGGAGGAACACCAGUGGCGAAGGCGACUUUCUGGUCUGUAACUGACGCUGAUGAGCGAAAGCGUGGGGAUCAAACAGG
RNAcentral lists this ribosomal RNA (429 nucleotides) under Actinomycetes bacterium. RNAcentral describes it as "Actinobacteria bacterium partial 16S ribosomal RNA". It matches the Rfam family "Bacterial small subunit ribosomal RNA", at positions 355 to 776 of the family's 1533-position model. Lineage: Bacteria; Bacillati; Actinomycetota; Actinomycetes. The record is from RNAcentral.